RNAcentral lists this ribosomal RNA (980 nucleotides) under uncultured organism. RNAcentral's name for it is "bacterial SSU rRNA". It matches the Rfam family "Bacterial small subunit ribosomal RNA", at positions 507 to 1489 of the family's 1533-position model. The record is from RNAcentral.
GCCAGCAGCCGCGGUAAGACGAGAUGUGCGAGCGUUGUUCGGAAUUACUGGGCAUAAAGGGUGCGUAGGCGGUUUGGCAAGUCGGGUGUGAAAUCCCUCGGCUCAACCGAGGAAUUGCAUCCGAUACUACCAGGCUUGAGAACGAAAGGGGCAAGCGGAAUUCCGGGUGUACCGGUGGAAUGCGUAGAUAUCCGGGAGAACGCCGAAGGCGAAGGCAGCUUGCUGGGUCGUUUCUGACGCUGAGGCACGAAAGCUAGGGGAGCGAACAGGAUUAGAUACCCUGGUAGUCCUAGCUGUAAACGAUGGGCACUAGGCUUCGGGAGACCUGAUUCUCUCGGGGCCGGAGCUAAUGCGUUAAGUGCCCCGCCUGGGGAGUAUGGUCGCAAGGCUAAAACUCAAAGGAAUUGACGGGGGCUCACACAAGCGGUGGAGCAUGUUGUUCAAUUCGAAGCAACGCGAAGAACCUUACCUGGGCUUGACAUGCUAGUGGUACAAACCCGAAAGGGAGCGGACCUCCUAACCGAGGAGCUAGCACAGGUGCUGCAUGGCUGUCGUCAGCUCGUGUCGUGAGACGUUGGGUUAAGUCCCGUAACGAGCGAAACCCUUGUCGUCUGUUGCUACCGGGUAAUGCCGGGCACUCUGGCGAGACUGCCGGUGUCAAACCGGAGGAAGGUGGGGACGACGUCAAGUCAUCAUGGUCCUUACGUCCAGGGCUACAAACGUGCUACAAUGGCGGGUACAGAGAGACGCAAAACCGCGAGGUGGAGCAAAUCUUCAAAACCCGCCCCAGUUCGGAUUGGAGGCUGCAAUUCGCCUCCAUGAAGCCGGAAUCGCUAGUAAUCGCGGAUCAGCAAUGCCGCGGUGAAUAUGUUCCUGAGCAUUGUACACACCGCCCGUCAAGCCACCCAAGCUGGGAGCACCCGAAGUCCGGCGCCAACCAGUCCGGCCGAAGGUGAGACUGGUGAGGGGGACUAAGUCGU